This 440-nucleotide ribosomal RNA is filed under the name uncultured bacterium. Its description in RNAcentral is "partial 16S ribosomal RNA". It matches the Rfam family "Bacterial small subunit ribosomal RNA", at positions 338 to 795 of the family's 1533-position model. The record is from RNAcentral.
CCUACGGGUGGCAGCAGUGGGGAAUAUUGCACAAUGGAGGGAACCCUGAUGCAGCGACGCUGCGUGAGUGAGGAAGUAUUUCGGUAUGUAAAGCUCUAUCAGCAGGGAAGAAAGUGACGGUACCUGACUAAGAAGCCCCGGCUAAAUACGUGCCAGCAGCCGCGGUAAUACGUAGGGUGCAAGCGUUAUCCGGAUUUACUGGGUGUAAAGGGAGAGUAGAAGGCUAAGCAAGUCAGAAGUGAAAACCCAGAGCUCAACCAUGGGACUGCUUUUGAAACUGAGUAGCUAGAGUGCAGGAGAGGGAAGUGGAAUUCCUAGUGUAGCGGUGAAAUGCGUAGAUAUUAGGAGGAACACCAGUGGCGAAGGCGGCUUACUGGACUGUAACUGACGUUGAGGCUCGAAAGCGUGGGGAGCAAACAGGAUUAGAUACCCCGGUAGUC